GACGAACGCUGGCGGCGUGCCUAAUACAUGCAAGUCGAGCGAGCUUGCCUAGAUGAAUUUGGUGCUUGCACCAAAUGAAACUAGAUACAAGCGAGCGGCGGACGGGUGAGUAACACGUGGGUAACCUGCCCAAGAGACUGGGAUAACACCUGGAAACAGAUGCUAAUACCGGAUAACAACACUAGACGCAUGUCUAGAGUUUAAAAGAUGGUUCUGCUAUCACUCUUGGAUGGACCUGCGGUGCAUUAGCUAGUUGGUAAGGUAACGGCUUACCAAGGCAAUGAUGCAUAGCCGAGUUGAGAGACUGAUCGGCCACAUUGGGACUGAGACACGGCCCAAACUCCUACGGGAGGCAGCAGUAGGGAAUCUUCCACAAUGGACGCAAGUCUGAUGGAGCAACGCCGCGUGAGUGAAGAAGGGUUUCGGCUCGUAAAGCUCUGUUGGUAGUGAAGAAAGAUAGAGGUAGUAACUGGCCUUUAUUUGACGGUAAUUACUUAGAAAGUCACGGCUAACUACGUGCCAGCAGCCGCGGUAAUACGUAGGUGGCAAGCGUUGUCCGGAUUUAUUGGGCGUAAAGCGAGUGCAGGCGGUUCAAUAAGUCUGAUGUGAAAGCCUUCGGCUCAACCGGAGAAUUGCAUCAGAAACUGUUGAACUUGAGUGCAGAAGAGGAGAGUGGAACUCCAUGUGUAGCGGUGGAAUGCGUAGAUAUAUGGAAGAACACCAGUGGCGAAGGCGGCUCUCUGGUCUGCAACUGACGUUGAGGCUCGAAAGCAUGGGUAGCGAACAGG
Molecule: ribosomal RNA, 788 nt
Filed under: uncultured Lactobacillus sp.
Lineage: Bacteria; Bacillati; Bacillota; Bacilli; Lactobacillales; Lactobacillaceae
Description: bacterial SSU rRNA
Rfam family: Bacterial small subunit ribosomal RNA
Source: RNAcentral